Molecule: long non-coding RNA, 3782 nt
Organism: Dama dama (fallow deer)
Lineage: Eukaryota; Metazoa; Chordata; Mammalia; Artiodactyla; Cervidae
Exons: 3
Source: RefSeq, a predicted model, not a curated record
UGCCCCUGUACACCAUGCCCAGCACAAAAGCAAGCACUUCAUAAGCAUCAUCUCACAGUCACGGAGAAUCAGAAUCUUUCUUGGGACUCUACUUGCCUACAAGACACUGUGAUGAUUGUUCCAAGGACUGACAAUGAGCAGUGUGCAUUUUCCUGAGUAGAGCCACAAAUGCAAACUGGUUACUGGGCUCAGAGAGACAAUGGAUCAGCUCAGGACCAGGUUUACUUCUUAGAAGGAAGAGUUCCCAGAAAAAAUUGAUUCACUCAUUCAAGUAAGAUCUGGAACGCCUGUAAGGAAUGGAGACUGCUCCGUGCUGGGGUUCCAGGGAUGAACCGGGCAGAGAUGGUCCUGCUGUCAGUCUUCUGUUUCUAAACAGACCCAGUAAGAACUGAGGAAGCAGGCAGUUGAAGCUGCGGAUCCUCUCAAAGCCAGGACACAAUCAAAUUGAAACGGGGACCAGGAAGGUCUCUGGGAGAGGGAUGAGUCAUGGGAGUGGAGGACUGUCAGUAAAGGGGAGCGGCCGAGUGGAUCUGACAUGGCCGCGGGAGAUGUGCUGUGUCCCCGAGCCACCACCCAUCCAUGUGCCCACCUGCUGCAGUGUCCACCCAGGAGCCGCUGGUCCAUGUAGCACCUUCAAGAGACUGUGAGGGCCUGGGCCUGACGCAGAAGGAAGCAGGGAAGAGUUUCUCCAGUUUCCUCCUGCUGAAAUGGGAACAAUGGAAAGAGAAGAUGAGGCAGGUACCUCGAGACUGGGAAGACUGAGGUUACUGCCGCCGGUUGCCGUGGUGAGUUUCAGAUUCUGCACCCUGGACACAAAUUUCACAAGGUCCAUCUCAAGCUGGUUUAAGGUAUCGAACAUAUAGUCUUUGUUGGGGGAAGCCUUUUUAUUUUUCUUUCCCGAAGAGGCAAGUGAACCACCUGGAAGGGCAGGAAGAGUCUGCACAGUACUCUCGUCACUGUCUCCUGGAAACUUCUGUAUCACAAACAGCACAACGAGGAGAAAAAACCAGGGCAACUUGCUGCCAAGCCAGCCUCGGUCAUGCUCUGGUAGAUUCUGCUGAAUUCGAAAGUGCCUUCCGCAGGGCACCUUCCCGGGGAGCUCUAUGGUGUCAUCUCUCAGACAGAAGAACACAAAGGCACAGAAGGAGGACACACACAUAGACCAGAAAAAGAACCACAUCACAGACCGCAUGGCUCUGGAGAAUGAGCAGCCAUAUGGACCCAGUGCUCAAGGAGCUUAACUUACAUUCAAGUGAAAGGUGAACACAAAGAUAAGACAACUGAACGCAUAUGUUCAUCUAAGUUGAGAAGACUGCCACGGAAGCUGGCUAAAGGCUGAGCUAAAGAUGCACAGCUCACCCUGCAGAGCUCUGUCUCUUGGAGGAAAGAGGUCUAGUCUGAGAUCUGAAAGCUGCUACUAGAGGUUGAAUUGUACCUGCCCACCCCUCAAGAUCUGUCAAAGGCCCAACACCUAGUACCUGUGAAAGUCACCUUGUUUGGAAAUAGGGUUGUGAUAGAAACAGUUAAAAUGAGGUCAUACUGGAGUGGGACUUCCCUGGUGAUCCAGUGGCUAGUUGGGUUUCCCAGGUGGUGCAGCAGUAAAGAAUCCGCCUGCCAAUGAAGGAGACACAAGAGAUGCCACUUCAAUCCCUGGGUUAGGAAGAUCCCCAGGAGGAGGAAAUGGCAAUCCACUCCAGUAUUCUUGCCUGGAAAAUUCCACGGACAGAGGGGCCUGGCAGGCUACAGUCUCUGGGGUUGCAAAGAGUCAGAUGCAACUGAACACACAAGCUGGAGUAGAAUGGGCCUUCACUCAUUAUGACGUAUCCUUAGGAAAAGAGACAAUCGCAAAGGAAAGUGCCAUGAGAAGAUGGAGGCAGAGGACUUCCUUGAUUGUCCAGUGCUUAAGAAUCCACCUGCCAAUGCAGGGGACACCAGUUUCACCCCUGGUCGAGGAAGAUUCCACAUGCUACAGGGCAACUAAGCCUGCAUGCCACAACUAUCAAGCCUGUGCAUUCUAGGGCCAGUGCUCUGCAACAUGAGAAGCCCAUGCACUAGAGAAAGCACAUGUGUAGCCACAAAGACCCAGCACAGUCAAAAAUAAGUAAAUAAAAUUUUUAAAAAAUGAAGAUGGAGGCAGAGGCCAGAGCGAUGCAGCUACAAGCCAAGGACUGCAGGUGACACGAGAAGUUGUACCAGACAAGGAAGGAAGCUCCUCUUUAGGUUUCUAAAGGAAUGUAACUCUGCCAACAUUCUGAUUUUGGACUUCCUACUUCCAGAACUCUGAGAGACGAAAUUGCUGUUUUAAGUCACUCAGUUUUCAGUCAUUUGUUUCAGCAGCUCUAAGAAACCAAUACCAGUGCAAAGGAGCUAGGCACACAGAGAAUGAAGGCAGAGGGUCCCAGGGCUGCAGAUACAGCAUUUGCAAUGUCUCUAAGGAGGCAGAAACCUCAGCAAAUGCAAGGAACCAAGACAAAGCUUAGGAGGUGCAGCUCUGCCAGGAACAAGUUCCACCGGGGAAUUUGUCUGUACGCUUGUGAUAGUGAUGGGACUUAUGAAGGGUGGUCAGCCGGAGAACAGCAGAACAUGCCUGGUGAGAAGGGAUGGAGGGAGCUGGAGCCCACAACCUCAUCAGGAGGUUGGUGACCCAUGGCUUGACAUGGGGCAGUGAGAGGAUGGUGGUGCUGGGUUCUGGAGUAAAUAAGUAGACCAGGAGUGGAUCAGGUUUGGGCAGGCAGAAAGGAAAGGAAACACACGUAUGACUAAAUUUUAGAUAAAUGCUUUAGUGAAAUUAGUUUUCAGGCUGGUGGGUGGUGAUGCUCUUCAUGAGCAGGUGAAAAUUGGGGAGGAAAAGGUUCAGGUGGGGUAUGAACACCACAGGUUUGCUGAACUGAUGUGACUUGGCUCAGUCUUUGCUUUUACUCAUCAAACUUGGCAUCAGGUGACUUGGCCGAUUCCAAAAUUCAAGUCCCCUUGUCCUCCUGAAAAGGGUUGCAGGAAUCCCUGUAGCAGAUAUCAGGAGAGCCUCUUGCCUCCAAAAGGAGUUUCAAUGACGUCGUUCCAAAGGGCGUGAUCAUUUGACUAAUCCUUGCACUUUGAAGAGGAAACACCCUUGGAAUACCUAAGUUCUGGUGUCUUUGUAAAAACAGUAGAUCUCAUUUCUUCAAAGCCAGACCUCCUUGAGUCCAGAUGUAGAAAGAUCGUGUCAGAGCACUUCGUAAAUAUGCCUCACUACAUUAUCAAAGACUGCUUAAAAAUAAAUAAUAAAUGUAUUUUCCCAUUCCCAUUUAAUGAGGACCUUUUUAAGUUAACCAUGAGCUAAGAGUCUCAUGAUUGAAGCAACGUGUAACUAGAAGUUCGUAACCAUCAUGCCAAUGGCAUUUUCAGCUUGUGACUCGGUUUUUCUCAGACUUUGGAUGAUGCUUAUGAUCAUAGAAAAACAGAUUAGCUUUUGUGAUGGUUAUUUUUAUAUGAAAUGCUCUGUACUAUAAGGCUGGGGAAAAUGACUAUAAAUACAGUGUUUGGGAUGGCAAUCAAAAGGCAGAGGUAACAACAUUGUAAAUUACCUAUAUGUCAAUAAAAAAUUAAAAUAAAAUAAAUAACCAUUAAAGACAUACUGUACAGAACAUAGAACUAUAUGUAAUAUUUUGUAAUAAUCUAUAAGGAAAAAGAAUCUAAAAACAAAUGUAUAUAUAAUAAAUGUAUAAAAAACUAAAUCACUUUUCUGUACGCCUGGAACUGACACAACAUUAUAAAUCAACUAUACUUCGAUUGAAAAUAAAAUA